This is a long non-coding RNA of Carya illinoinensis, 1187 nucleotides long. RefSeq lists it as uncharacterized. The transcript has 3 exons. Lineage: Eukaryota; Viridiplantae; Streptophyta; Magnoliopsida; Fagales; Juglandaceae. The record is from RefSeq and is a predicted model, not a curated record.
UUUUACACUUCUCUAACCAAUCAUUUAUGCACGGAUGUCUAACUGGAUUCUCUUUUCAGACUCCAGGAAGAGAGUUCUUACUUUGUAUGCCAUCUCUUGAAAUCCAUAACGAGGUCAGUAGCUCUGAGAUGAGUUACCACUUUGAGAUGCGGUAUAUCAUUUUAUUUUUAAAUUUUAGAUUUGAAUUUAUUUGGUCUUAUUUUUGUUCAAUCUCCAUUGUAAGUGUUACAGUUAUGAUUUUCUUCUAUAAUCAUGAUUCUUUAUUUCUUUUCGAGUUUGGCAUUUUUUUCCACUUGGAAUCAAUACGCAUCGUUUGAUUGGAGUGACUGGUUAGGAACGUGAUUUUUCUAAAGUGAAAGUUAUGUGAUUUGCGGUGCCAUUCAUUUCUGUAAGUGAUUUCCGGUGAUAAACGACUUGCUUGAUCCAACAUGUCAGGAUUUGCACGUUAGAGAAGAUGCCCAGGUUUCCCACUUAUGUUUUCUCAAAAGGUCUUAUUUCUUUUUCUUGACUUGCUGAAUUUCAUAUGUUGAUCCCAUCUAGAAGUUAUAUAUCAGGGAACCUAUGUUGAGGGUAUAAAGGAAGAAGUUUAUCUCCUGGGCAUGCACUUUCUUUUAUUGCUGCUGGGGAAGAGCACCAUCAUGUUGGAUCAAAUACUUUCAAUCUGUUGAGUAGCUGAAGCCACGCCAUAUUUAACACUGGAAAGUGAGAAUGAGAAACUAAAGCUGGAACAUGUUCAGCUUCCGGAGGAGAAGAGUGGUUUUACGUGUUCAGAACCAGAAAUUGGCGGAAGAAGCUUCUUAUGCCAAAGAAUUGGCCUCUGCUGCUGCUGUAGAGUUGAAGAAUUUGGCUGGUGAAGUGACAAAGCUCUCAUUGCAGAAUGCAAAACAUGGAAAAGAGUUGUUUGCUGCUCGAGAUUGGCCCACUCUAAACGUGCUGCUAUGCAUAAACGUGCUGCUAUGCAAACUGUGAAUGCUGUGAACUGCAAGUUCAAUGAUGUAACCACAACUUGAAGGAAAGGGAGGCUAGCUUAGCUGGCCGUGCUAACGAAAUUUCUGGAGUGGUCUGCGAUGACUUUGAGUCAUGGAAUCUUGGUCAUGAAUCAUGAUGAUCUAAAGAUGGAUUAUCUAUUUUUCUUGACUAAAUCCUAAAGAUUUUAUCAUAAAGAUUUUCUCAUUAAUGUUCAUAAU